UACGGAGGGGGCAAGCGUUAUUCGGAAUUAUUGGGCGUAAAGGGUGCGUAGGCGGCCUGACAAGUCUGAUGUGAAAUCCCUGGGCUCAACCCAGGGCCUGCAUCGGAAACUGUCGGGCUUGAGUAUGGGAGAGGUGAGUGGAAUUUCCGGUGUAGCGGUGAAAUGCGCAGAUAUCAGGAAGAACACCCGUGGCGAAGGCGGCUCUCUGGGACGGUACUGACGCUGAGACGCGAAAGCGUGGGGAGCGAACAGG
This 253-nucleotide ribosomal RNA is filed under the name uncultured bacterium. Its description in RNAcentral is "partial 16S ribosomal RNA". It matches the Rfam family "Bacterial small subunit ribosomal RNA", at positions 524 to 776 of the family's 1533-position model. The record is from RNAcentral.